GACCAUGACCAGGUGACUGUGGUGAGCCAGUACUUCCCAGCAGGCACAUAAGCAGCAGGAGAGGGAGAGAGGAGGAUGAGGAUGAGCUCCCAGCAUUCUUUCAUGAGCAAACUUCCAAGGAUCUUCUCCUAUUCCCUACAUACCAAGGGUCCCACACCUCCUGUGGUGCCAUGCACUGUAGGCCACACCUUUAACACGUGGGCCUUUGAGGGACAGUCAACUCAAACCAUAGCACCAGUAUGGUGAUGAUAAAAAAGUAAAAGGAAAAAAAUGGCUCCAAAGUCAGUGAAUACACAAUUACCAGGAUGGUUUAUGACUUUCUACAUGAAGGAUCCACCACCAACCCUGCCGGCCACGCACCCUCACUUCGUAUCUCAGGAAUGAAGUGGCAGUGAUGGCUUCCUUACUCCUAAAUACCAAAUCUGCUGGGGCCUUCUUCCACAAGACCACGCUUAUAAACAGCUUUUAAUUUGGCA
Molecule: long non-coding RNA, 476 nt
Organism: Mesocricetus auratus (golden hamster)
Lineage: Eukaryota; Metazoa; Chordata; Mammalia; Rodentia; Cricetidae
Exons: 2
Source: RefSeq, a predicted model, not a curated record